AUACUUACUUGGCAGGGGAAAUGUGAUGAUCACUAAGGUGGUUUUCCCAGGGCAAGGCUCAUCCAUUGCACUCUGGGUGUGCUGACCUCUGUGGUUUCCCCAAAUGUGGCAAACCUGACUUCCUAGUUUUUGUUAGUGGGGGACUGCAUUUGCCUUUUCCCCUA
This 164-nucleotide small nuclear RNA is filed under the name Microcebus murinus (gray mouse lemur). RNAcentral describes it as "U1 spliceosomal RNA (ENSMICG00000043096.1)". It matches the Rfam family "U1 spliceosomal RNA". From Rfam's summary of the family: U1 is a small nuclear RNA (snRNA) component of the spliceosome (involved in pre-mRNA splicing). Its 5' end forms complementary base pairs with the 5' splice junction, thus defining the 5' donor site of an intron. There are significant differences in sequence and secondary structure between metazoan and yeast U1 snRNAs, the latter being much longer (568 nucleotides as compared to 164 nucleotides in human). Lineage: Eukaryota; Metazoa; Chordata; Mammalia; Primates; Cheirogaleidae. The record is from Rfam by way of RNAcentral.